GACGAACGCUGGCGGCGUGCCUAAUACAUGCAAGUAGAACGCUGAAGGAGGAGCUUACUUCUCUGGAUGAGUUGCGAACGGGUGAGUAACGCGUAGGUAACCUGCCUGGUAGCGGGGGAUAACUUUUGGAAACGAUAGCUAAUACCGCAUAAGAGUAGAUGUUACAUGACAUUUACUUAAAAGGUGCAAUUGCACCACUACCAGAUGGACCUGGGUUGUAUUAGCUAGUUGGUGGGGUAACGGCUUACCAAGGCGACGAUACAUAGCCGACCUGAGAGGGUGAUCGGCCACACUGGGACUGAGACACGGCCCAGACUCCUACGGGAGGCAGCAGUAGGGAAUCUUCGGCAAUGGACGGAAGUCUGACCGAGCAACGCCGCGUGAGUGAAGAAGGUUUUCGGAUCGUAAAGCUCUGUUGUAAGAGAAGAACGAGUGUGAGAGUGGAAAGUUCACACUGUGACGGUAUCUUACCAGAAAGGGACGGCUAACUACGUGCCAGCCGCCGCAGUAA
RNAcentral lists this ribosomal RNA (511 nucleotides) under uncultured bacterium. RNAcentral describes it as "partial 16S ribosomal RNA". It matches the Rfam family "Bacterial small subunit ribosomal RNA", at positions 28 to 523 of the family's 1533-position model. The record is from RNAcentral.